UACGGAGGGUGCAAGCGUUAUCCGGAUUCACUGGGUUUAAAGGGUGCGUAGGCGGGCAGGUAAGUCAGUGGUGAAAUCCUGGAGCUUAACUCCAGAACUGCCGUUGAUACUAUCUGUCUUGAAUACUCGGGAGGUGAGCGGAAUAUGUCAUGUAGCGGUGAAAUGCUUAGAUAUGACAUAGAACACCGAUUGCGAAGGCAGCUUGCUACAGAGUAAUUGACGCUGAGGCACGAAAGCGUGGGGAUCAAACAGG
Molecule: ribosomal RNA, 253 nt
Filed under: uncultured bacterium
Lineage: Bacteria
Description: partial 16S ribosomal RNA
Rfam family: Bacterial small subunit ribosomal RNA
Source: RNAcentral